This 277-nucleotide long non-coding RNA is filed under the name Nicotiana benthamiana. RNAcentral's name for it is "long non-coding RNA (NBEN_LNC029475)". Lineage: Eukaryota; Viridiplantae; Streptophyta; Magnoliopsida; Solanales; Solanaceae. The record is from RNAcentral.
UUUAAUUACCCCACGUUUAUUUUUGUCCAUUUUUCUCUUUCUUCCAACUUUAUUCUCUCGUUGUAUUCUGGGUGGAAUUGGCACCAGCAUUGAAGAAUUGUGUUUCUCCAUGUUUGACAAGAUUCUCAAAGUGACAGAGACCACCUAGUAUUGUCUCUACAAACUCUGUCCACUUGGUGGCAUUGCAACACCAUCUUUGUUUAUUGUUUUGACACAUUAGUACGUACUCAUAUCCUUUAUUUUAUUGUUUUUGGUGGGAAAUUUGCUAAGUACUANN